GUGCUCUCUUUGGAAGCACAUAUGCUAAAACUGAAACAAAACAAGGGCCCCUGGGCAAGGUUAACAUACACAUUUAUGAUGAAUUCCACAUUUUU
This is a small nuclear RNA of Phascolarctos cinereus (koala), 95 nucleotides long. Lineage: Eukaryota; Metazoa; Chordata; Mammalia; Diprotodontia; Phascolarctidae. The record is from Ensembl.